UAGCUGGGAUUGGACUCCCAGAGGGGGAC
Molecule: small RNA, 29 nt
Filed under: Bombyx mori (domestic silkworm)
Lineage: Eukaryota; Metazoa; Arthropoda; Insecta; Lepidoptera; Bombycidae
Description: ovarian small RNA-22530
Source: RNAcentral